RNAcentral lists this ribosomal RNA (627 nucleotides) under uncultured Ascomycota. Its description in RNAcentral is "eukaryotic LSU rRNA". It matches the Rfam family "Eukaryotic large subunit ribosomal RNA", at positions 23 to 667 of the family's 3401-position model. The record is from RNAcentral. Lineage: Eukaryota; Fungi; Ascomycota.
ACCCGCUGAACUUAAGCAUAUCAAUAAGCGGAGGAAAAGAAACCAACAGGGAUUGCCUCAGUAACGGCGAGUGAAGCGGCAACAGCUCAAAUUUGAAAUCUGGCUCCUUCGGGGCCCGAGUUGUAAUUUGCAGAGGAUGCGUCGGGUACGGGUGCCUUCCGAGUUCCCUGGAACGGGACGCCAUAGAGGGUGAGAGCCCCGUCUGGUAGGACACCCAGCCCAUGUGAUGCUCCCUCGACGAGUCGAGUAGUUUGGGAAUGCUGCUCUAACGGGAGGUAUACUCCUUCCAAGGCUAAAUACCGGCUGGAGACCGAUAGCGCACAAGUAGAGUGAUCGAAAGAUGAAAAGCACUUUGAAAAGAGAGUCAAAUAGCACGUGAAAUUGUUAAAAGGGAAGCGCUCGCUACCAGACUUGGGUUCGGCGGUUCAACCGGGGCCACGCCCCGGGGCAUUCCGCCGUCCCAGGCCAGCAUCAGCUUUCCGUCGGGGGCAAAGGCGUCGGGAAUGUGGCUCUCCUUCGGGGGAGUGUUAUAGCCCGGCGUGUCAUACCCUUCGGGGGGCUGAGGUACGCGCUUCUGCAAGGAUGCUGGCGUAAUGGUAGCUAGUGACCCGUCUUGAAACACGGACC